Arabidopsis lyrata subsp. lyrata is the source of this 4133-nucleotide long non-coding RNA. RefSeq lists it as uncharacterized. The record is from RefSeq and is a predicted model, not a curated record. The transcript is spliced from 12 exons. Lineage: Eukaryota; Viridiplantae; Streptophyta; Magnoliopsida; Brassicales; Brassicaceae.
ACGGUCGGUCAAAAACUCGAAAUUGAAACGAGUGAUAUAACUCAGCGUAAGCCUUGGAGACCAAGAGUCUUUUAAAUUCACAAAAGUAUCAGUUUUGGACUUUGAAUUCUGACCGUUGGGAUCUCAGACGCUCUACCAAAUUUUAACAUCUCCAUCUCUGGCGAAGUAAUUGAGAAGCAGUAGAAAAGCGUUGAAGCAGAAAAGUUAGAUCGUCGGCCACCGUUGUUGCCGAUCUCGGCGAAAGGGAAAGAAACGAAGUCGUUGGAGAAAGAUCUAGUGGAGUAGGAGGCGAUGUUGAAGAAGAUGAAGAACGAGAAGGAGAAGACGGAGGAUUUUCUUAAGGAGAAAAGACGAGAUCUUGCGGAAGAAGAGUCACGAUCGUGUUCGCCAGAGAAACUUGGAUCAACGGUAACAAUACUCGUUAUACCUUCAGGAUUCUUCUCUAUAUAUUCGGAGGCUAAUUCCCCAUCGUUACUGAGAAUUGAGUUUUAGGUCAACUCAGGAUUCAAAAUCAUCAUCUUCAGAGGAUGAUAAGAGCUCUGCCUUUGGUGGUUAAGCCAUUAUGCAGAGAGUUACUCAGUUGAAACACUGAACCAAGUGACCAAGGAUAAUAGGUAACAAAACUAACAAAAAGUUAAAAUUGGAUCUCUUAUUUGCCACAAAGCUUGAUAAUGAUUAUUUGUGUCUAGUUAAUGCAAAACAUGCAGUUUAUGAUUUUUUUCCAUUCUUCAGCACCUGAUUAGCGUAUCUCACAGUAGUGAGAAAGAUCCAAGUGUUUGAGUUUCCAUGUUAUGGUACCUUAAACGCAAACUCAAAGGAUCAAUCAGCCAUGCCUAGUUUCAGGUACCGUGAACGAGCUCACCGUGUUGAUGAAGCACUCGGUUUCAUGCACGUUGCUGGACUAAUGCUGGAUCAUCCCAUUAUCCAACAACAAAUUUCUGGAAUUCCUUAUGAGUGUUUGUCUUACAAACAAUCAUUAACACGGCUAGACUCGACCUCUGGUCUCUACAACGAUUGUUCUUCUCAUAUGAUUUGGGUUGGUAAGUGAACCAUGCAGCUUGAUGGUGCCCACGUCGAGUUCUUAAGGUUUGUUUUUCUCUCAUCAGGUUUUAGUUUCUACUAGUCAGACGGACUGAGAUCUUUGUGGGCAUGUGGAGGUAUAGAGGGAGUUGGCCAUACUGGAAAGUGAGUUGAGAAGUGCUGGUUAGGCUUUGGUCAUUUCUGGCACAACUGGAAGGACCUCAAGGUUGUUAGCUAAAGAAAGAGGUACUCCAACUACACGACAAGUAGAGCAAGCUCGCACCGAGAUUGAGAAUCUUUGGCGAAUGGUUGGAGAAGAAAACAACCAGAAAAAGAGACACUAUCAACAUUCGCAUAGAGUUCAAUGUCUGUUAUAUUCACUUGUUAGUUAUACAUAAAGCGUAGAUGUUAUGUGACUACCAAAUAUUAGUAUGUCUUUGUCCAGGUUCCGAUGGAACAUCAAUACCUCAAGAUGAGGGUGUGCCGUACAGGGGACUCUGAGAAUACAACAAAAACUAAGUUCACUGCUCUAGUAUAUCUCCACUAAGACCUACAUUAGAAUGUGAUUGAUGAUUUUUUGAAAUAUUUGAGACGGAAAGCUCUUUCCACAUUUGGAACAUGCUAUAACGCGAGUUAACACUCCUUCUCUGAAAUUUAGAGGAGAUUUUACAUAUUUUCUUUUCACCUUUUUGUCUCUCUUUUCUACUCUUCUGGAUCUUGUCCAGGUUCUAGAUGCUACCAGCAAUGAGUCCUGGGGUCCGAAUGGAUCACUUCUUGUGGACAUUGCGUAUGCUUGGAGAUAUCACCACGAAUACGAGCUGACCAUGGAAACGUCUUAGUUACACUGGAAAAAAUUGGUGGCCUGUAUAUAAGGUAAAAGAAAUAUAAAGGCCUAUAGCUUUUUUUUGGUAUGCUAUAAACUGUGGAGGUGAAUGAAAUCAAUAUCUUUUGGGUUAUUAUCUCUUCUCUACUCUCCAAGCAUUGACAGUUUUUUUAAGUACAUGAUAAGGUCAUGGAUCAGAACGUGUGAUUGACGAGACUGAAGAAUGUCAAUCAUGGAUCAGAACGUGUCAUAGUAGUAAUAUAUAUUUUAGAUGGAUUCAACACAAGAUUUUUAUUUGAUCUCAUAUAUAUGUUGAUUUUCUUACAGAUGGAGUUUAUCCUUUUUCCAUGUGUCAAACAUUAUCUGGUUUUCAGUAUAUUGAUUCCUUAUUGAAGGGAUGGUGGAGGUUUGAGUUAUGAUCUUAGAGCUAAAGAAAGAGAUCGUUCAACUAGUACGUCAAUUAGAGCAAGCUCGUACCGAGAUUGGGGAUCUUUAAAAAAUGGUUGGAGGAGAAAAACAACCAGAUAAAGAGACGCCAUCAACAUAAUCAGUAGAGUUCAAUGUCUGUUAUAUUAAUUCACUCAUUAGUUUUAUAGAAAGCAUCGAUAUCCUGUCACUACCAAUUAUUAGUUCGUCUUUGUCCAUGUUUUGCUAGAACAUCAAUACCCUAAGCUACGAGUGCCCAUUACAUGGGACUCUGAUAAUACAACACCACUAAUCAGCUCACUGCUCUAGUAUAUCUCCAAAAUCCACUGAAUACAAUUAUGAAGAGAAAUGCCUCCCUGCUUUCAGAUUUCAGUAUAGAAUUUGCAUCAAGUAGGAUUGCUAUGCAGGCCAGAGCAUAGAUGCCUUCAUGGUAUACUGCAAUUGUCGCUGGAGCACUCUAUGUAAGACCCUCAUUCUUAGAUAUCUAUUUGUCUUGAAAAGUUUCCUAUCCUGUGACGAGAUAUUCUAUUUCCUUAAAGAGCAUCCAUGACCAGUGUUUCUGUGGUUUUGGAUUACCUUAUAUCUUGAGAAGGGGAAAAUUCCUCCAAAGCAUAUAUCUCUUGUGCGUUCUCAAGUGUCAAAGCACUAGAGAUAUAGGUGCACACUCUACGUGAUGAAGUUGGAUGGUAAAUGUCAUGCGAUAUAUGCGGAGGACAGAGCGGCAGGAACCUUUCGUCUCUUUGACGGAAGAACUUGGUUACUAUACAUACAACAGCAGUGUUGAUGAAGAUGUGCAUACCUCUUCUUUCACCUGCGUCAAGAUUUAUCCAUUUAAAAACUUCUGAAGGACAAGCCAUGCAGGCUGGUGAACUUAAGCCAAGCUUGAUCUCGAUGAUCCUUCUGCUGUAAGAAAGGGAGCUUCCAAAGAUAAUUGCCGGCAAUAUUUGUUUUUCUAAUUUUGAUCAAACUUUUCGAUUACAAAAUUUGACUUUGAGACAUAUCUUCUAGGUUGUUUAAGACAGAUUGUGUCGCCUUGAUAGCCCUAAACUCCCAUUGUUCAAUGGCAAGAGUACUUUACAGUCCCGGCGACACGACUACCUAAAGAUCUCAGGAACAUGGCAAACACUCGUAUAUUGUUCAUAAUCCGUUUUCCUUUCUUGCGUUCUUUGUUUCGAGUUUCAAGUUUUUUAAAGCGGUUUUAUAAAGUUCUUUAUUAGCUAUAAUCAAAGUAUAUUGAAUUUGAGAUUAUAUCCAAAAACUCUCAGACCGGUGAGUUCUUGAGGCGACUACCUAUCUUUCAAAUUUCUUCUCUUCGGACCACCCUUGGCGACAGGCUCAUUGAUUUUCUUGCCAUGAGAAAAGAGAACCUUGUGACAUUUUAUGUAGGUGGUAGAGAAAGUUCAAAGUUCUGCCCCUCUUUGAAGUAUGUAUUAGAAGUACUAAGGAUGAUGGUAGAGGAAGCUCAUGAGCCAGACGAAAGCAGAAGAGGAUCUUAAAACAAUUUAUUUGUGGAUCUGACCAAGAAAGAGACUUUGCUCAUUUUUCUUACAAGAUUCUUCAGUAAGGAGACAGAAAGGAGUAUGACUUUGUGAAGUCAAGUCUUUCAGCAGAAGGCUCCAACGUUGUUUAUGAUAUCAAAGGUACAUCUACUGUAUUUCAGCUGGUGUUUAUCUGCAAUCUGAAAUCAUGCCACACUGUGAGGAAUGUAUUAUGGGUUCAAGAAAACAGACUGCAUUCACGUUUUGUAGUCAAUUCAAGAUCGUCUGAAGCCGGAACCUCUCAUUUUUGCCUACCUGAUAUAUGCCAAGGUUAUUUCUCUCUCUCUAUUUUUAUUUUUUUACCAUUCCCUUGGAGAAACUGAGAA